GAUGAACGCUGGCGGCGUGCCUAAUACAUGCAAGUCGAGCGAACAGACGAGGAGCUUGCUCCUUCGACGUUAGCGGCGGACGGGUGAGUAACACGUAGGUAACCUACCUAUAAGACUGGGAUAACUUCGGGAAACCGGAGCUAAUACCGGAUAAUAUUUCGAACCGCAUGGUUCGAUAGUGAAAGAUGGCUUUGCUAUCACUUAUAGAUGGACCUGCGCCGUAUUAGCUAGUUGGUAAGGUAACGGCUUACCAAGGCAACGAUACGUAGCCGACCUGAGAGGGUGAUCGGCCACACUGGAACGGAGACACGGUCCAGACUCCUACGGGAGGCAGCAGUAGGGAAUCUUCCGCAAUGGGCGAAAGCCUGACGGAGCAACGCCGCGUGAGUGAUGAAGGUCUUCGGAUCGUAAAACUCUGUUAUUAGGGAAGAACAAACGUGUAAGUAACUGUGCACGUCUUGACGGUACCUAAUCAGAAAGCCACGGCUAACUACGUG
Molecule: ribosomal RNA, 497 nt
Filed under: uncultured bacterium
Lineage: Bacteria
Description: partial 16S ribosomal RNA
Rfam family: Bacterial small subunit ribosomal RNA
Source: RNAcentral